UGGGGGAUAUUGAACAAUGGGCGAAAGCCUGAUGCAGCGACGCCGCGUGGGGGAUGAAGGCUUUCGGGUUGUAAACCUCUUUCGCUAUCGAACAAGGCACGCUUAGGGUGGGUUGAGGGUAGGUGGAGAAGAAGCGCCGGCUAACUACGUGCCAGUAGCCGCGGUAAUACGUAGGGCGCGAGCGUUGUCCGGAAUUAUUGGGCGUAAAGGGCUUGUAGGCGGCUUGUUGCGCCUGCUGUUAAAACGCGGGGCUUAACUUCGCGCGUGCAGUGGGUACGGGCGGGCUUGAGUGGGGUAGGGGUGACGGGAAGUCCAGGUGUAGCGGUGGAAUGCGCAGAUAUCUGGAGGAACACCGAUGGCGAAGGCAGGUCACUGGGCGAUUACUGACGCUGAGGAGCGAAAGCAUGGGUAGCGAACAGG
Molecule: ribosomal RNA, 420 nt
Filed under: bacterium
Lineage: Bacteria
Description: partial 16S ribosomal RNA
Rfam family: Bacterial small subunit ribosomal RNA
Source: RNAcentral